This 463-nucleotide ribosomal RNA is filed under the name uncultured bacterium. Its description in RNAcentral is "partial 16S ribosomal RNA". It matches the Rfam family "Bacterial small subunit ribosomal RNA", at positions 28 to 507 of the family's 1533-position model. The record is from RNAcentral.
GACGAACGCUGGCGGCGUGCUUAACACAUGCAAGUCGAACGGAAAGGCCUUUUCGGAGGUACUCGAGAGGCGAACGGGUGAGUAACACGUGGGUGAUCUGCCCUGCACUCUGGGAUAAGCCUGGGAAACUGGGUCUAAUACCGGAUAGGACCGCACUUUAGUGUGUGUGGUGGAAAGUUUUUUCGGUGUAGGAUGAGCCCGCGGCCUAUCAGCUUGUUGGUGGGGUAAUGGCCUACCAAGGCGGCGACGGGUAGCCGGACUGAGAGGUUGGUCGGCCACAUUGGGACUGAGAUACGGCCCAGACUCCUACGGGAGGCAGCAGUGGGGAAUAUUGCACAAUGGGCGCAAGCCUGAUGCAGCGACGCCGCGUGGGGGAUGACGGCCUUCGGGUUGUAAACUCCUUUCGCCAGGGACGAAGCGUUUUGUGACGGUACCUGGAGAAGAAGCACCGGCUAACUACGUG